Molecule: ribosomal RNA, 937 nt
Filed under: uncultured prokaryote
Description: bacterial SSU rRNA
Rfam family: Bacterial small subunit ribosomal RNA
Source: RNAcentral
GCCAGCAGCCGCGGUAAUACGAAGGGCCCGAGCGUUAUUCAGAAUCACUGGGCUUAAAGCGUACGUAGGCGGACUGUAGGCGUUUUGUGAAAUCCCUCGGCUCAACCGAGGAACUGCAGAGCGAACCAUAAGUCUUGAGACAGACAGAGGUCGUCGGAACGAUUGGUGGAGUGGUGAAAUGCGUUGAUAUCAAUCGGAACGCCGAAGGAGAAGUCAGGCGACUGGGUCUGUUCUGACGCUGAGGUACGAAAGCGUGGGUAGCGAACGGGAUUAGAUACCCCGGUAGUCCACGCCGUAAACGAUGUGCACUAGGUCGAGGGCGUUCUGACGCGACUCUCGGCCGAAGCGAAAGUGUUAAGUGCACCGCCUGGGGAGUACGGUCGCAAGGCUAAAACUCAAAGGAGUUGACGGGGGCUCACACAAGCGGUGGAGCAUGUGGCUUAAUUCGAAGCAACGCGAAGAACCUUAUCCUAGGUUUGACAUACACGGAUUAGCUAUAAGAAACUAUAGUGACACCUUCGGGUGGAACGUGAACAGGUGCUGCAUGGCUGUCGUCAGCUCGUGCUGUGAAGUGUCGGGUUAAGUCCCUUAACGAGCGCAACCCUUAUCGUUAGUUGCUAGCAGGUAAUGCUGAGGACUCUAGCGAGACUGCCGGUGUUAAACCGGAGGAAGGUGGGGAUGACGUCAAGUCCGCAUGGCCUUUAUGCCUAGGGCUGCAUACGUGCUACAAUGGCAAGUACAAAACGAAGCAAUACCGCGAGGUGGAGCAAAUCGCUAAAGCUUGCCCCAGUUCGGAUUGCAGGCUGCAACUCGCCUGCAUGAAGUUGGAAUCGCUAGUAAUCGUGGAUCAGCACGCCACGGUGAAUACGUUCCUGAGCCUUGUACACACCGCCCGUCAAGUCAUGGAAGCUGGUAGUGCGUUAAGUCGCCGAGAUCA